This 9581-nucleotide long non-coding RNA is filed under the name Heterocephalus glaber (naked mole-rat). Its description in RNAcentral is "lncRNA (ENSHGLG00000049251.1)". Lineage: Eukaryota; Metazoa; Chordata; Mammalia; Rodentia; Bathyergidae. The record is from RNAcentral.
AUGGACUUUAUUUUUUUAUUUUAAAAAAAUAUCCCAUGAAAUACGUAAGAAAGGAAAACAGAGAAAUUAACUUGACAAUGAAAGAACACUUAGCAGCAGCAGUAGCUGCUGUCUGGUGGAGCUGCAGGCCACAGGCUGGGUCUGAGCCACCCAGGGGAGCCAGGGGACCCACUGUUGGAGUCUCGCAGUCCCUGCCGCAGUGACAAGAGUCCAGCGGAACUGUUCUCCCACAGGCUCGGCCCCAGGGACUACAGAAGGAGCAUUCAGCCAGCCUCUCCGGAAACAGGGUCAUUCACAUUCCUGUGGCAGUGAAUGAGACGGGAAUCCGUGGCAGGGUUGCUGGCGGAAGCAGGUAGAAGUCUGGACCCACCUUCCGGGAAGACGCCGCCUCGGGUUGGGCCUCAGAGUCACCUUGCUGAGAGGGGUCUGAGGUGACUGUGGUGCUGCCCGUCUGGGUCACACAGGUGUGGGGGUCAGGACACCUGGAAGCAGUGGGCGCCUUGGGCUCCAACGGUGCAGACACGGGGAGGAGUGACGGCUGCCAUCUGCUCAGCAACUGUUCCUGCAGGGCACACAAAGGAGCGGACUUCAGGUGAUCGAGUCCAUCGAUACUGGGAAGACUAGCACACUUGAUACACAAGUGAAGAGACUCGGCAUUAGUGCUGGCAAAACUCCAGCAGACUGGGCCGGGCAGGGACCUUCUCCAGCUGACGGCUCCGUCCAGCUGGCCUGGGCCCGUGGAGAGGGUGGCACGCUGGGACCAGGAAGACACCUGCUGUGCCCUCUGCGGUCUGUGGCAGCCUCAGCCAGGGUCUUUGGGAUCCGCGCUCCUGGCCAGCACAGCAGGGAAAGGAGAAGACCCAGGGGCGCACCGCCUGGGGAGGAGGGUCGGGCCACCGAGUCCUCCUGGCCAGCGCUGUCCAGGAGAAAAGCCCAAAGGAGCUACAGGAAGAGGAGGAGAACUGGGCAGGCAGCAAGUUCAUGGGACCAGCUUCACAGUAGGAACCCUGCUUCUACGGGUGCAAGGCCACCUCCAGGGCGAGGCGUGGCGGCGGCAUUCUGCCGGGUGCCUUAGCCAGAGCAGGGACAAGGGCCAAAGGCAGGGAGGACGGUGUGCGGGCCAUAGCCGCCCAGGGAGGCAUAGGCUGAGGCCUCUGCCCCCGGGCUUCACCGCAAAGCUCAGGAAGGAUGGACAGGAGGCAGGAAUGGGAGCAAGGCUGCUCUGCGGGCCCCUGAGGGUUGAGCAGCUGCCAGUUGUCUCCCGGGCUGUGUCCUGGUGCCAGGCAGGGGCUUCACCAUCUCCUGGGAAGAGAGCAGUGAGGCUGCGGCUCACAAAGGGCCGGUGGGUCCAGCGCCCCCAUGUGUGCAGCCUGGGGGUCCCCCUGCUGUGACCUCAGGCCAUGCUGAUCCCGGGCUGCAGGUGCCCGCUGAGAAGCGGGAGGUGCUGGCAGGUGUCCACUGUGCCGACUGUGUGCCACGCGUGCCCCUCACAGCCCCUGCUGUGCCCUCCGUGUGCCACGUGAGGACUGCCUGUCUGUUCCUGCAGUACACAGGCGCCAGCACGGCCUCUGCCCGGGCCUGAGCUCUCCCCGCCCGCCUUCCUAGGGGCAGGAGGAGGAGAGAGGACAUCGGGCGACGUCCUGACGCCUGGCCCUUUCACCUGCUGCUUCACAGGCCGGGGGCACUGGCCCUGCUGACUCCGCCUCCAUAGUGCAGCCUUCCCCUCCGCAUCUUCCCCUCAGCCCCCUGCCCUCUGCCCUUGCUCAGGGUGUCUCCUUGUAUUGAGACCACUGCGGCAGGGGCUGAGCGCCUGGCACGGUACUGUGACCCGCUGCAGCCGGAAGUGCCCGGCUGUGGCUCCGCCCCUUCACUUCCGGGCAGCCCAGCCACCCGGCCUGCGCCCGGCGUCUCCUCCCCGCCCGCCCGCGCUGGACGCCUGGCUGCCCUCAGGUCUCAGCUGCGGUGGACAGGGAGUGCGGGGACCCUGAGGUCCAUCUUCUUCUUUUUGUUGUUGACGCGGUCUUGCUAUGUAGCCCAGGCUGGCCUCCAACUCGUGGUGAUUCUCCCGCCUCAGCCUCUUGCGUGCUGGUGUCAUGGGCGUGCGCCACUGUGGCUGGCUGAUUAGGCGGACGUUCUCAGGUUUCUCUGCUCGCCACUGACCAGGCCGGAGGCCACCUAUCUGAGCAAAAAGGACAAAGGGCUUACUCAAGGCUGGCCCCGAGGACACGGAGGGCCCACUUGCCUCAGGUCCCCCGCAGAGGCGGGAAAGGCCGUCCGUGGAACCAGGGGCGGGGAGGCCGAGCCAGGAGCCUGCGUGGAGCAGCCGCGUCCUUCUCCCCGCGAGGGCCGAAUCUUUGCCCGGGGCCCGCGCUCUCCCGGGGCCUCUGCUGCCCGGUUCUCGGGUUUCUGGGCAAAGGGAGAGGAAAUGGUAGAAAUGACAGCCGCGAAGCCGCACGUGACCACGACGCUGCUCGGUCCUGCGACCCAGCCAUCGCCGGCCGCCGUGCAGGUCUAUGCCUCGCCGCUUGUUCCACAGCUUCUGUUUCCGUGUGUGUGUGUUGCGCGCAUGCGCGGCACUCGGCAUCGAACCCAUGGCCUUUGCCCUCAGCUGCAGCCUCAGCCUUGUUUUAUCUCCUCUUCCUAAGUCACUACAUCGCCUUGUGACCCUCCUGCCUCAGCCUCCCAGAGGGCCGGGAUGACAGGCUUCAGAACGGCAAAAGGAAAUGGACCUGCAUGGAUCAAAUGCUCCCUGCGUUCUGCUCCUGCCGAGAGGCCAGCAAAGCCCAAGGACCGACGGGGCCACGGUCCCCUCAGUUUGAAUUACAGUGGAGCCGGUGCUGGGUGUGUGGUGGGUAAACGGUGCCACGUGCAGCCCGAACCCUCGCUGACUUGGAAUCGGGCUGCACAAACUCCCUGUGCGGUGGUGGGGAAAGUGCUGGUGCUGAAGAAAAGUGAAUGAAAUGUGCGGAAAUCGCCAGCAUGGGAGGGAGAGCUCUGCGAGUGUCCCGGGUGGGGGUGCGCCCGGGCCAGGCAGACCCUGGAGUCCCGCAGGGUGGGGCUCUGCACCCAGGAAGUGUGUGGCGAUCGGGAAGGCUUGUCCCUCGGCCUGCUGUCUGCCUGUCUGCAGGCAGAGCUGGAGUAACAAUCCCUGUGACUUCCCACCUGGGCUCGCUUUAGGCCACACGGAGCCGAGCCGCUUUGCUGGGGCAGGGAGACUGGGCUUCCCGGGGUCCCUGCAUGCUGCACCAGCCGGGGUAGGGGAAUCUCACCAGCUGGGUAUAGGGGUGGCUGUGGGUACCCGGCCCAUGGGCAGCACAUGCCCUGGGCGUGGCGGGCAGCCCCUCAAGAACCAGCAGAGGAUUGGUGUGGGGCUCAGAAGGCGCCGAAUUCUCCAGCAGCCCUGGGGGCCUCCUGACCCCACCCACAGACACCACCACUGAGGCUCCACGGCCUCGUCUGUGUCAACUGCCCAGCCCCGGUGGGCGGUCCCUGGGCAGCGUCCGCAACUCCAGGCAUGGGAAGCCAGCCCAGCCACACGGACCAUGCUGUCCCCACCUCCUGGGGCCAGGCUGCUGGCCAAGGGCGAGGCCAGGGUCAUUCUCAGCCACCCUCGAGAGGACUUGAGCCUGGACACACCUGGAUGCAUCUCUCUCCCAGGCUGCACAGGCAGGGAUAGGACAGGCCUGGCCUCCACUGGGUCCCCAGCCUCUCCUGCCCUGUGCUGGGACCAGGAAUGUAGGAACCAGCCUACAAACUUGAACCUGACCAAGGGGUGACGAAGAUGAAAAAUAAAGAGACACAAAACAGGGUAAAACCUGGGGGAGGCCAGGGGCUCAUGUCUCCCUUUGACACAGAGCCCCAAGUGACUGGCGCACCUCGGCUUAACUCACUCAGACACGGGCUGGAGCAAUCAGAGUCCACAGGACCCAUCUGCCUCCCUCCCCCACGGUACUUCUCCCGGUGAGCAAUAGGACCUCAGGUGUUUUUGCUUCUACCUGCAGAAGUCUGCUUUCCCGCCCUCUUUCUCCCCAGUGCUCAGGAGGAGACCACUUAGGCUUCACUCUUCCCAUCUGGUCUUCCAUACAGGAAGGCAAGGUCGAGCCCCACCUGGACGGCAGGAAGCCACACCGGGCAGCUGAGCCUCCUGGGGGAACUCUCUUCGCUCACUCCACGGGACAGCGUCACCAAUCCCCAGAGCUGCUGUCCCCAGGGUCCUUCUCAGGGAGAGGGGCUCUUGGGAAACAGAGUUGCAAGCCCCUUCCCAUUCAUCAGGGCCACCUGAUACAAAGUAUCCUUUGCUCCUCUGGUGUGAUCAAAACAUGCAACUCCUAGUGAGGCUGGGUAAGGACCCAGGGUUCACAUUUAGCAGGUGUCCUGGGUGUCUAGAUUCUACCACCACAGAGAAUAAGACAGGAAAAACUUCCUCAGCCCAUCGUGGUGGUGCACACCUAUAAUCCCCGCACUGUGGGAGGCUGAGUCAGGAGAAUCACAAAUCCAAGCCAAGCCUAGACAAUUUAGUGACAGGUAGAUUCUGUUUUAGUCACUUUCCUUGUCACUAGGACACAGUGCAUGACACCAUCAAAUUAAAGCAGGACAGGUUUAUUUUGGCUCAUGUUUUGUGGAGGUCUCAGUCCACAGCUGGUGGCUCCAAGGCAGAAGUGGCACGUGGGAAGGGCCUGGGUGGAGGAGCUGCUCCCCUGCAGGAAGCAGACUGAAAGAAGCAAUGGAGGUGAGCUUGUGGACCCGGGCUCGGGUGUUUCCUUCCCAUUAUGGGUAGAAACUCGAGUCAGGGGCAGAGGGAGCGUUGCAUGACUUGGCCUCGCAUCUGGUGUGUGGGCACCGCACACAGCACGGCCGAGGGGGCCACCAGCUGUCCUUCCUCUGGUGUCCUCGGACCUCCCCGUCUUCCUGUGUGGUGGCUGCGCGGCACUGGGAGAGGAGAGGCCUUUGCGUGCCGCCCUCCGGGAGCUCCGACCCUCUGCUCCUCAGAGGCCGAGUCUCUGUGGGGUCUGGGGAGCAAACCACGGCCCUUCCACCAGUGGAAGGCAGGAGGGGUGCGGACAGCUUCCCCUCCGCUGCGCUGCACAGCUCCUGGCCCCUGCAGACUUCAGACGUGACACCACUCUCACUGGGCCCCAGUUGGCUGCUCCCCACACAAUUUGAAUUUCUAGACUGGCCCUGCUGGAGCCAGCGCCCCAAGACGCCUGAGCGCUUCGCUGCGGGACUCCUUGACACGUGGGCCCCUCCCGCCCCGUGAUGGGUGGAGAAAUCAGGUGCUUUACUGCCACCCCUGCCUCCACUUGGGAAGGACAGGCUGCCACCAGGGUCUGCCAGCCCAACACGGGGAUCCACGGGGCCCCAGGACUGUCAGGACUCAUCGACCCAGCUGUCACCCACAGGAGCCCCCAGAGUCUGUGCUGCACUCACCGGCAAAGCACUCAGGUAACUCGGGAAGCCAGGUAUCCCCAAGAGGCUGCUGCUACCCCACACGAGAGCUCACACAAGUGAGGCGGAAGGAGGGCUGAGAUCUCAGUCCCACCUCUCUCUCCGUGUGACCGAGUCAGGGGGACAGCAAAGCCCCUGCAGAGAAAAGACAGUUUGAGUGGACCGGAGGCCAAUUCUUAGUCACACCUGCCGAGCUGUUGAUACACAAAUAACUUACCACAUGAGUGAGUGGAGUGGAAGCGGAGUGUGCAGCGACUCAGGGUGCCACUGCACUCCAGCAAGCAGGGGCGCGGUCCUCUGCAGUGGGCUCGAGUCCUGCACCGAGCUCUCCAUGGAGACCAAAAUGCUGGGGAACCGGGCCAUAACAAGCAUGGCUCAUUUUUGAAGCAGAAAAGCAGGCAUCUCCGCUGGGCUAAGAUGUUACUUGGGUGAGGAGUGAUGGAGAGGAAAAUCCCCUUAUUAGAAAAUAGCAAAAUCAACAGAAAUGAAAUCUUGUAAAAUAAAGGCUGCCCUGGACUCAGGGCUCCCAAGCUGUGAACCUGCUUGGCAUUGUUUGGGAUUGAAAAGUUCAGUUAAUUAGGGGCUGAUGCAGAUAUGGGUGCAUGCGCUGCACCCCAGAGCAGGUGGCACCCAGACCCUGCAAGGACCCAUGAAGGGUUCCAUGCACACGCUAAGUGCACCCUAGGGACAUGGGUGGGGACACGUGCAUGCGUGUCUUCGGCAGCCUCUGCGUGGUGGCCACAUGGCAGAGGGAGCCUACAGAUCUGCACAUGCACAGGGGCUGCACCGUGUGCAUGGGAUGAGGGAUAGCAGCUCAGGAUGUGGUACGGCGACCUCCCCUUCCACACUGUGGCCUGAGGGAGAGAGAGGGGCAGAGGUCAGCAUGUUUUCAGGUUCCUUUUGCACAGAGCAACCGGAACAGCACAUAGCUGAGGCGAGAGGUAGAUGGUGCAUUGCCUGGGGAAGCGAGGGUGGCCGGACUGGGGUGUCCCCUUGGGUGGUGACAAUGUCCUGAAACACAAAGGGGCUGUGGCCACACCUUGUUUGUGCAGUAAAUGUCACAGAAUUGCUUACUUUAAGAUGGUGGAUUUUGUGUCAUGUGAAUUUCGCUUCAGUUAAAAGAAGAAAACCCCUUCCAGGUCCUGAUGCCACCCAAGGGCCCUGCCCAGUUCUGGCCUCUCCUCUGUCCCUCUCCCAGACAAUGAGUUCAGCUGAGUUUUGUUUUGCAGGAAAGUACUUGGUGACCCUGUGUGCACCUCAUUUUUCUGUAAUGUUUAGACACUUUGAUUUUCCUAGUGAGUCCAACAAGGGUUUGAAAUCUGAACUUGACCACUGCAGCCUCUGCUGGCCAGGGCUGGGGCAGAGGGGGUCAGCACAGUGUGGUUCCCAGAAGUGGCAGAAGCUCUCCAAGCGAAUCUUUGCACUGACUGAGGGCCCUCGGUAUCAGUCAGUGCUCACGAGAGAAACAGAGCUAAUAUAAGAUAGCUGCACAUGCAGUCAAGCCUUGGACUUCAAGUAACUUGUUAUGUGUGUGUUCUGUAAGACAGCAAAGAUUCCUAAUAAAUUUCAACUGGAUAAAUGAAUGAAGUUGUGUAACAGGAGUACAGUGGUGCAUGCUGCUGGGUGUCGGGACCACAACGGAGGCAAUGGCUCUCCUCUCUCACUGUGGGUUUGUGGGUCAUCAUCUCCCAACAGCAAGAGGUUGUGGAGGAGAUCUUGUCUGCAAAGGAGGAGGAGAAAAUGGCAGAGGAAUUCCUUGCUUCAAAUGAGAUUAGGGAGAAGUGUAAAAUGUGGGAAAGUGCAGAAUUGUGUAGGAAAGCAGCACCCGAAUAAGGCCGUAGCAGUGCGAGUGAUGGAUCUUUAAUGACAAUGCAACGUCACAUUUCUGUGAAACCCACAAAAGGAGGCAAAAGCAAGUGCCAUUGGACAGGCUCCUUGUUAAAGCUGCAUGAAAAGAAGACGAUUCCAUGGAGCCGACAGACAGCAGUGAGUCCAUCGGUGGUAGUGACAGUCGUCAUGCACAGUGACCCUCCUCUCCCUUGAUUCCCUCACUCCAGCCACGGAGGUUUCCAAAGGUUGUGGAAUGAAUCAUCUGAGUUUCCAUUAUUUCCUAUGGAGAAAUUUGCUUUGAUAUAGAAGUGCUUUGAAUUACAAGUAUGUUUCUAGAAUGAAUUAUGCUCACAAGCCAAGGUUUUACUGUAGAAGGAUUUACAAGGUGGCUUACAGUGGCCGCUGCAGAGUCCCUUGUGGAAGAGCGCAGGAGGGCAUCUGCCUCCUGGAGGUCCGAACCAUCCAGUUAGAGCUCGAGAGCCUGGGGCUCACUAGUGUCCCGUGCAAGUCCGAACAGGAAGCUGAAGAACCUGGGCUGGAAACCAGGGACGAUGUCCUAGUGCAGGUGAAGGCUGGAGCUCCUCUGACGAACAGAAGGAGCCCUCCUUCACCCUCGUUGUCCUGUCUGGGCUGCAGGCGUAUGCAUCGGUGCCGCCCCAACCCAGGGUGGGGCCCCUGUUCUUCACACCUGACGAUGCUAAGCCAGUCAGUGGACUAAUUUAGCUACCACACAGCCUAGAUCCAGCCACCUUCCCUAAGCCCCACCUUUGAGCACACGAGGCUUUGAGGGACACCUAGACUCCAGCCACAGCACCCUCGUACCUAAUGUCACUCACCUCUUGUGCAGAAGGACCUCCACUGUGGAGUACAUCGUCACCGAGGCACCUGCACUGUGGACCUUGGCCUUGGGCAGGUGACAUCCAGGCUUCCACCCCCUUGUCUGUGAAACAGGGCUUGUCAGUCCCACGCAGCAAUGUCUGGCAGAGGACAGAGAUCGGGGGUGGUGGUGGACACGGCGGUGUUUUUGUGACCAUCCCGCCUCCCAAGGACAAGCCCAUCAGACUCGACUGUGGGGCUCCAGGCUCUUCUCACGUCGUCAUGGUUAAGUGUCACUUGUGGAUGGGCUGUGAUGGGCCCACACUCCCACUGGAGCCUCUCCCCACUGCCGCACCGAGCCAGUGGGGAGACAGAAGCAGCCCCAUGAGGUGCUGUCUGCAGGCUGGGAGCCAGCCGCUCUGUCAGCAAAAUGGGCCCAGCUCAGGAUGGGGAUGGGGACGUCCCCAGCCGGGACUCCUCCCUGGGCCACUGGGCCACUGGGCCACUGGGCUGUGCUGUGUGCACUGGCAAUGCCCUCCUGCUCUGCCACGCUGUGUCCAGAGCGUGAGUCCGCAUGGGUGUUCCAGAGCUGUGAUGUCAGCCUCCAGGCCUCAGCAUCCCCAAUGAAGCCAGAGAAGCCCCCUGAGGUGCCACUAACAAAGACACUGAGCGCAGUGUAGCAAGGGGGCGGGUGUGUGCUUCAGCUGGACACCGAGCACCCAUGCAUCUGUGCCCUCCGCCUCCUCAAGCCAUCUGCCAGGUGAUGAUGAACAGAAAGCUGCGUCCGUCUACACGGGUCCCGGAAGCCCAGGGCCCACACGGUGACAGACUUCAGCAGAAGAAAUCCUCCUAAGUCCCCAAACAAGGUCUAGGACGGCUAAAUGCGGUUAUGGAGACAAGGCAGGGCAUGGCAGACCAGAGGCUCGGCACUCCAAGUGGUCAAGGCCGGGAGGCAUAGAUGGCAGCUCACAAGACUGAGGCGAGGAGCUGAAGAGAAGGAGCAAAGUCCAGAUGCAAAGCUUAAGGUGCCCGGGAGAAACCAGAGCAUGGCAGAGGCUCACAGCAGGAGCAAGAAGAUGCAAACAAGAGUUACUUGGAGAUGAAGACCAGAGAGAAGGGAAGCAGACUGAUGCACAGCACUUGUACUGAGAGUGGGACUGUUGCUGCGGCUGGGCCCGACCAUGUGGCUCAGAAGCGGCUGGAAGGGCCCACGGGGAGUUUGGGAAGGUGGGGGUGCAGCCAGAGAAGCCCUGGAACUCUGCAGGGUGAUUCUGGUCAGAGCUCAGAGAACAGAAUGCUGAUGGGUAGGAAGGACAGUGCUCCUGAGGUUUCGGAUGCGAAGGAGGACUCUACUGGGAGUUGACUAGAGGCCACGUGUGUUCCAUAUGGGCAGAGAACUUGCCUACAAUUGGCUGGGUCCUGAGACCCCCUGGAAGGCUGAGUUUACAGCGUUUGACACUGGCAUCAUUCGGGCGGCCUCAGGCUAUGUG